AUGAGGGAAGAACCAAUUCAUUGGGCUAGGGCAUUUUUUCCUAUAGGAGCUAACUCUGAAUCAGUAGACAAUAAUCUUUGUGAGUCAUUUCACAAUGACAUUAUAGAAUCAAGGUUCUAUCCAAUAAUUUCACAACAAGAGAUGAUAAGAAAGAAAAUGCUCAUUGGGGUGCAAGAGCAGAGAGCCAAAUCAGCAAAAUGGAAGGGCAAAAUUUGCCCAAAUAUUUUCAAGAAACUCUAG
Molecule: ribosomal RNA, 240 nt
Filed under: Triticum aestivum (bread wheat)
Lineage: Eukaryota; Viridiplantae; Streptophyta; Magnoliopsida; Poales; Poaceae
Description: partial small subunit ribosomal RNA
Source: RNAcentral